This 3964-nucleotide long non-coding RNA is filed under the name Citrus maxima (pomelo). Its description in RNAcentral is "long non-coding RNA (CMAX_LNC000386)". The record is from RNAcentral. Lineage: Eukaryota; Viridiplantae; Streptophyta; Magnoliopsida; Sapindales; Rutaceae.
CUCAGUUCAUUGAAAUCAGUGGUUUUAAGGCGUAUGCCAGGUCUGUUUGAGAAAGGGCUACCUAAAUUGGCAAAUUUAAAGAUUGGUUAUGGUCAAGAGCAAACAUAUUUAUGGCAAAGAUGGCAGAGUGAAACUCGGUUACUGCAAGAUAUUAGCUCCCUUAAACGGUUGCAGAUUUCAGGUUGUCCCCAGAUUUUUUCCUUGGUCACAGAGGAAGUACAUGACCAACAACAGCCAGAGUUGCAGUGCAGGCUGGAAUUGAGUCAUUGUGAAGACCUUACAAAGCUACCACAAGCAUUGCUCACCCUCACUGCCCUUAGAGAGAUGCGGAUAGAUGGCUGCGCUUCACUUGUUUCCUUUUCUCAGGCUUCUCUGCCUUCCCAGUUGCGAAAAAUUAUAAUCUCAAGUUGCGAUGCAGUUGAAUCCUUACCUGAGGCAUGGAGGCACAACUCCGACUUACCUCUUCAGAUUUUGAAUAUUCGAUUGUGUGGUUCGCUUGUUUCAUUUCCAGAGGUUGCUCUGCCUUCCCAGUUGAGAGCAGUUAGAUUUAUAGAAUGCAAAGCUCUGGAAUCCUUACCUGAGGCAUGGAUGCAAAAUAGCAAUACAUCUCUUGAAAGUUUGAAAUUUAAAAGAUGUGAUUCUUUGACAUAUAUUGCCAGAAUCCAGCUAUCCCCGAGCCUAAAGCGGCUGAUUAUCAAACGGUGUCCUAAUUUAAGGACUUUGACCCUCAAACAGGACAUCCGCCGUAGCAGCAGUGGGUCCACCUCCCUCACACCCUUUUCUUCAGAAAACGAGUUACCUGACACUCUGGAGCACCUUGAGGUCACUCAUUGCUCGAAUCUUGCUUUCUUGUCAUGGAAUGGAAAUCUACCUCGGGCUCUUAAGUACCUUUAUGUCAAAGACUGCUCAAAGCUAGAGUCAUUAGCAGAAAGGUUGGACAACACAUCCCUUGAAGAAAUCACUGUUUCAUGUUUGGAAAAUCUAAAAUCAUUACCUGACGGUUUGCAUAAUCUCCACCAUCUUCAAAGGAUUUGGAUAUUUGGAUGCCCAAAUUUUGAGUCAUUUCCCGAAGGAGGAUUGCCUUCUACGAAACUGACUCGGCUCACAAUCUGGAACUGCAAGAAUUUGAAGGCCUUACCCAACUGCAUGCACAAUCUCACCUCUCUUCUGCAUUUAGAAAUAAGAGAGUGUCCUAGCUUGGUAUCUUUCCCAGAGGAUGGUUUUCCCACCAACCUUCAAUCACUUGUGGUUGAUGAUCUGAAGAUAUCAAAGCCAUUGUUCGAGUGGGGAUUGGACAGAUUGGCCUCUCUCAGGGAAUUACGAAUUAGAGGAGGAUGCCCAGACCUGGUGUUAUCUCCCCGGUUUCCUGCCUCUCUAAUCCAACUGGGGAUUUCAGAUAUGCCAAAUCUGAAACGCCUAUCCUCAAUUGGUGAAAACCUCACUUCAUUGGAAACUCUGGAUCUCAGUAAUUGUCCGAAGGUCAAAUACUUUUCAAAGCAGGGUCUGCCCAAAUCACUUUUGCGACUAGACAUCGAUGAUUGCCCGUUGAUGGAAAAAAGGUGCAGAAAUGAUAAAAGAAAAUAUUGGCCCAUGAUUAAACGCGUACCUUAUGUCAGUAUUAAUGACAGAUUGCUUUUUUGAUGAAGACUGAUCCAGCGGUCCCAAUUGAUAUGAGAUUUCAAUUUGUAAACUAAACUAGAUUGUGUUAUUGUAAUAUCAAGUGCCUUCAUCAAUAAAAGAAGAAAAAAUAUGUUUGGGAUUUCAUGAUGCGCUUUAUUGUAACUGACUUUUCUGCUAUUGAGUUAAUUGUUUUGUCAUUAAAAAGUGAAGUCUUCUUCAAUAUAGAAUAAGGCUUUUGUGUUUUAAGUCUUCUAUUAUUCGGUGAGUUACGCUUUAAAUUGUUUUUUUUUUUCUUUUUCUUUUUUGUAAAUCUUAAGCUUUCAUUUCUCUUAUGUGUCGAUUAUAUGAUAAUGUUGAUUAUGUGAUAGACGUUAACAAUGCUAGCUUUCUUGAAUUGGUAUUUCAGUGAUUCAAAUCUUCAAAUUAUCUCUAUUAUGGAUUAAUCUGGCGAAUUGCACUGAUUCAAGCAUUUUUUUCAUUGUUAUUUGCCAAACUUUAAUGUCUAUUGACUGACUUUUAGAGUUUUGGGCUUGAAACUGAAGUGAUGAGAAUGAAAAUGCUCUUUAUUAACUUGAUUUUAUUUGGUAAUCAGACAAGUCUGUGUUGUUUUCAAAUCAAUCUUUGAUAUUUCGUUCGGUAUUAUGGUGUCGUGACCCAAAAACCACAACUACUGUAAAAUAAAAACUGUGAGGACAAAUGUGAGGGCAAUUGAGCAUAAGUAUAAUAGAUAAGGGACCAAAUAAAAUAAAAUUAUUCACUCCGUGUUAGCAAAAUUCAAGCUCUCUCGAGAUUGAAGUGAAAGAAGUGAAAGAGCCAAGAGAUGACAAAGGCAAAGACCAUGCCACAGGUUUUGUUUGUGAAGCAGCAUUUGAGUAAGCUCCUCAGCUUUUCAAGUGGAGUUUUGGUUAAUUGUUUGUUGUAGUAGAAGUUUUGAAGUGGAGUCUUCAAGCCAUUCGUUGAAAUGCCUGAAAGAAAAAAGAAUGCUUGUAUUAGUUUUAAUAUCGAAAUGGUGAGCAAUCACUACUCUGCUUUCCAUUGGAGGAGGAAAUUCAAAUCCUCAACAUUUCUUUCAAUGGUGAACAAUUCUUCUUUCAGGAAAUUUUUCAUGGACCCCCUCAACAAAAAAAAAAGAAAGGCCAGGCUUUAUGAGUUAUUUCUUCCAGGGCCUGGAUCUUUCUUGGCUUUCUGCAAACACAAGCUCUGAUAUAUUGUAUAUGGGAAUUCUCUUUGAAGAAUCAGAAGCCAAAAAUAUGAGCUAGGCUGAGCUGAUUUUGACUGGAGCUGUUCAAAUUACACCGGGUUCAGAGUCAACAAGUUUUCCUUUAGAUUCAAUACAAAAGCACGUGAAUUGGAUUCAUGUUAUGGCAUUUGGCUACCACAUGCCUCAGAGAGUAGAUUCUACUGGAGAUCAUGCAGCUGAUGAGCUGGUUUUGGUGAUCCUUUCUAUGGAUAUAUGCUUGUAUUCUGGUGAAUCCUGAGGAUACGGCAUUGAUGCACCAACAAAAGUGCCAGCAAUUACAGAUGCGUGAGACAUGAUCUAUAAGGCAUCAAGAGUUACAUUGCAAAGAUAUUAACAAGGUUUCUCAUGCCAAGGAAAGGAAGCUGCUUGGUUAUGUUGCGUGGCAAUCACGAUAAUUGGGUGCUCUCUCAAGCUGCAGGUAAGCAAAGCUUUAAUUAAUGAUUCUAAGUAACCUGUUUUAUCAUCCUUUGUUGUUAGGUAAAGCUGAUUAAUCCAAGUUCAUUCUGAGUAUGUAUGCAGCUAGUUAAAUUAAUCAAUAAUUUUAUAAUGUUAGUUUAUUGCUUUUUAAUGGCCUGCCAUAAUUAUUAGUUUAUUGCUUUUUUAAUUGCUUGCAGGAUUUUUAUUUAGCUGGAACAAAAGGACAAAUUGUGAAAUUCAGUUAGCGGUAUAUUAAUUUAACUCAUUAAAUUUUCUCUCUUGCUAUUUUAAGAAUCUAGAACCAGCAAAAUUUCUAAUUUCUCUUUUGAGUAUAGAGUUGAAUACUCAUUUCUCUUUUAGAUUUGUCACGAACUAUAGGUGGUUGAUAUAUAAAAUUAAAAAAAAAAAUUGCAUUUUCAUAGCUAAAGUUGUGGUCUACAGUAUUCAGAACAAGAAUCUGACAGAUCGGAACAGGAAAAUCUAUUUUAUUAAAGUAAUAGAUUGAAAAUGAUUUGCAUCAAGAUCUUUAUGCCACCUCUGGUUACCACAAUAAUCAAUUUUACAGCUCAGGAAGAUGAUAAAAAGCAACAAAACGAGGUGGGUUUAGUAGCAAUCACUUGCCCUACAGCUGCAGUUGUUUUAUUCUACUUUGCUAUGCUGUACAUAUCUGUUCUGGGAACAAGUUAC